GAUGAACGCUGGCGGCGUGCUUAACACAUGCCAGUCGAACGAUGAAGCCCAGCUUGCUGGGUGGAUUAGUGGCGAACGGGUGAGUAACACGUGAGUAACCUGCCCUUAACUCUGGGAUAAGCCUGGGAAACUGGGUCUAAUACCGGAUAGGAGCGCCUACCGCAUGGUGGGUGUUGGAAAGAUUUAUCGGUUUUGGAUGGACUCGCGGCCUAUCAGCUUGUUGGUGAGGUAAUGGCUCACCAAGGCGACGACGGGUAGCCGGCCUGAGAGGGUGACCGGCCACACUGGGACUGAGACACGGCCCAGACUCCCACGGGAGGCAGCAGUGGGGAAUAUUGCACAAUGGGCGAAAGCCUGAUGCAGCGACGCCGCGUGAGGGAUGACGGCCUUCGGGUUGUAAACCUCUUUCAGUAGGGAAGAAGCGAAAGUGACGGUACCUGCAGAAGAAGCACCGGCUAACUACGUG
This 466-nucleotide ribosomal RNA is filed under the name uncultured bacterium. RNAcentral describes it as "partial 16S ribosomal RNA". It matches the Rfam family "Bacterial small subunit ribosomal RNA", at positions 28 to 507 of the family's 1533-position model. The record is from RNAcentral.